UCUAACUUUCUUUUAACUAGGAAUGCAUGAAAGUUUGUUUCUCUUUUUUAGUGGAGGGGCUGUGAAUGGAACCCAGGGCUUCCCGGAUGUCAGGCUGUGAAGGGAAGACCAGGAGACAGACUGAAAACAGAUUACGGUUCAGAUUUCUUCCCUGAGGAACAUUCAUUCCAGUCGCUUUCUCUACCAAUGAGAGACUCCAACUCCUCUCCCUUGGAAUAUGACUGAUUGCCCCAUUCCACAGGAGUCAAACUCUAGAACAUUCCCACCUGAAGACCUGUGACUCCUGUUGCUACCAGAUUCUAUCCUAUUAAUUAAUUAAUCAAUUAAUUAAGCUGGGAAUUGAACUUGGGGCCUUACAUGUGCUAGGCAAACACUCUACCACAGAGGCAUACUCCCACCCUCCUCCUAAUUAUCCCAAGCCCAGCCAUGUGGCUUGUGUUUGGAUUUCUACUCAUCAUUGCUGUGUGCAGCAAGGACUCAAGAGACAAAGCAGGAACACACUGGUUUGCCCAGGACCCUCUCCCAAUCUGAUGGUUCUCUUCCUUCUAAGAAUCUCUGCAUCUACCAUGGAGACUUCUGCCCUGGAAAGGAGCAGGAGUGUGGGAGGAGACGUCAGCUGCAAAGACAUCGUCUACAUUGUAAGGAGGCGCUGGGACAGAUGAGGCCAGAGGUGGGCAGCUAUUACAGUUCGGAUUUGAAAUAUCCUAGAACGCUCACAUGUUGAAGGUUGGUUCAGUUGUCUGUGCAACUAGGAGGUGGGAACCUAGAUAGAAGAAGGAAGUCAUGGAGGGGAGGAGGAGGGAACUGGGAUUGACAUGUAAAACAAUCUUGUUUCUAAUAAAU
This 843-nucleotide long non-coding RNA is filed under the name Cricetulus griseus (Chinese hamster). RNAcentral describes it as "lncRNA (ENSCGRG00015042623.1)". Lineage: Eukaryota; Metazoa; Chordata; Mammalia; Rodentia; Cricetidae. The record is from RNAcentral.